UACUCCAGAGGGUGUCAUUCACUAAGAUAAAACAUGAUUGUCACCUUUUUGAGUAGA
Molecule: microRNA precursor, 57 nt
Filed under: Dasypus novemcinctus (nine-banded armadillo)
Lineage: Eukaryota; Metazoa; Chordata; Mammalia; Cingulata; Dasypodidae
Description: microRNA dno-mir-508 precursor
Gene: dno-mir-508
Source: miRBase by way of RNAcentral